Mugil cephalus (flathead mullet) is the source of this 69-nucleotide small nucleolar RNA. RefSeq annotates it as small nucleolar RNA U54. The record is from RefSeq and is a predicted model, not a curated record. The transcript has a single exon. NCBI's taxonomy places the organism in Eukaryota, Metazoa, Chordata, Actinopteri, Mugiliformes, Mugilidae.
UGCGCUAUGAGGAUAAAAAUUAUAACCGUGAUAACCACUGACGACGUUAUACGCUAUUCUGAGCCAUGG